GACAGAGGGGGCAAGCGUUGCUCGGAAUUACUGGGCGUAAAGGGCGCGUAGGCGGGAUGGCAAGUCGGUCGUGAAAUCCCUCGGCUCAACCGAGGAACGUCGAUCGAUACUGCUGUUCUUGAGGAUUGCAGAGGAGACUGGAAUUCCCGGUGUAGCGGUGAAAUGUGUAGAGAUCGGGAGGAACACCGGUGGCGAAGGCGGAUCUCUGGGCCUUACCUGACGCUCAGGUGCGAAAGCUAGGGGAGCGAACAGG
RNAcentral lists this ribosomal RNA (253 nucleotides) under uncultured bacterium. Its description in RNAcentral is "partial 16S ribosomal RNA". It matches the Rfam family "Bacterial small subunit ribosomal RNA", at positions 524 to 776 of the family's 1533-position model. The record is from RNAcentral.